RNAcentral lists this ribosomal RNA (253 nucleotides) under uncultured bacterium. RNAcentral describes it as "partial 16S ribosomal RNA". It matches the Rfam family "Bacterial small subunit ribosomal RNA", at positions 524 to 776 of the family's 1533-position model. The record is from RNAcentral.
UACGUAGGGUGCAAGCGUUGUCCGGAUUUAUUGGGUUUAAAGGGUGCGUAGGUGGCUUAAUAAGUCUUGGGUGAAAGACAGCGGCUCAACCGUUGGUUUGCCUGAGAUACUGUUGAGCUUGAGUAAGGUUGAGGUAAGCGGAAUUUGUGAUGUAGCGGUGAAAUGCAUAGAUAUCACAAGGAACUCCAAUUGCGAAGGCAGCUUACGAAGCCUUUAAUGACAUUGAGGCACGAAAGCGUGGGGAGCAAACAGG